UACGUAGGCAGCAAGCGUUGUUCGGAGUUACUGGGCGUAAAGGGUGUGUAGGCGGUUUUCUAAGUCUGGUGUGAAAUCUCCCGGCUCAACUGGGAGGGUGCGCCGAAAACUGGAAGGCUAGAGUGCGGGAUGGGAGAGUGGAAUUCCUGGUGUAGCGGUGAAAUGCGUAGAUAUCUGGAGGAAUACCGGUGGCGAAGGCGGCAUCCUGGACCGGCAUUGACGCUGAGGAGCGAAAGCCAGGGGGAGCAAACGGG
This 254-nucleotide ribosomal RNA is filed under the name uncultured bacterium. RNAcentral's name for it is "partial 16S ribosomal RNA". It matches the Rfam family "Bacterial small subunit ribosomal RNA", at positions 524 to 776 of the family's 1533-position model. The record is from RNAcentral.